Non-coding RNA from Rattus norvegicus (Norway rat), 7001 nucleotides. Lineage: Eukaryota; Metazoa; Chordata; Mammalia; Rodentia; Muridae. The record is from RefSeq and is a predicted model, not a curated record.
CAGUCUUAGAUAGGGAAGGAGAUACUGACCACUUGGCCAUGUAAUCUGACUAAAGAAUUCUCUUUGGGUCAUGUGGUUCUUUAAAUAAAAAUGGCCCUCCUAGGACCAUAGGGAAUGGUAAUACUAGGAGGUGUAGCCUGGUUGGAGGAACUGUCAUUGGGGGUGGGCUUUGAGGUCUUAGAUGCUUAAGCCAGACUCAGCGUGACAUUCCCUCCCUUCCUGAUGCCUCUGGAUCCAGUUGUAGAGCUCUCGGCUACCUCUCCAGCACCAGCCUCCUCCUCAAGAUGGAGAAAUGAACGCCGUGGAAGGACUGACAUGUCAAUUAUAGACGCGUGGACCAGUAGCAUUUUCAGAUUUGCAUCCUCUACCCAACAUGAGGAUGUCCUUCCAAAAGCAUCUGUCUUAAUGACCCAUAUGAGGGCUCCUUUGAGAUUUUACCACUGUAAGACAGCAUUCACUCCUGAGAUCCCUUGGACGGAGAACUAUGGAAGGCUUGACUUGACCUCUGUCCUGACACUAGGACAAGUCACAGCUGGCUGAAUGGACCAGAGAAACAGUCACACCUCCACAUCCAGGUCACAUGUUAUCUGACAAUGUCCAUAUGCCAUUCAACGGUCUUCUAUACUCAGCCUAACGUUUUCAAGCUGGAUUAGGGUUAUGUAUAUAUCAAGGUUGGCCAUUGGCUGAGAUUCAGGGAACCAGGGACAGAUAAUGGCUAAGAAAGAUGACUCUUUGUGGUUACGAAUGGACACUGCCUUCAGAAGAGGGGUUAGGAGGAAACAAGGUGGUAAAUCCGGCUUUGCCUGCUUCUGGACUUGGGCAUGGGGUGGCUUCCCAAGCUCCUGGAGAGAGCAGCGUUAAAUAGCAGUGUGCUUUGAAUUGAAAACUCCCAUCCUGGAGAGAAGGCCCCAGUAACCCAGUAAACUCUGUAGAUGGCUCAUUAGGACUCAGGAGGUAAACAACUCAGAAGUGUCCAGAAGUUCUGACACUUGCCAGACUCACAAGGCUCUCCAUCUUCAAGAUUCCAUAAGCAGAGUAGGCAGCUGAGGAGAGAGACUCUUGGACCUUUCGAUCCACACGUUCCAGAGUUCCAGGGUCACAGCUUUCAUUACCAGUGUUGCAGUGGGGUUCAGAGUGAUGCCCCUGUCUCUGUCAAUCACGCUCCUCUCUGUUACCCCUCACUGGUACUCCAGUAGUUCACCCCAGUAGCGCUCAUUGGUUUCCCAGAUUGGAGUUCACUGGUAUCCUUACUUUGUCCUGUCAUCAGUUCCCUCUCUGGGGUGAGUAGAUGCCUGUUCCUGUUUCUCAAGAAUUACCGUCACGUAAAUAGUCCAUCAGGAAUCUCCCCUGGAGCAACACGGCUCUCUUCUAACUCGGGCCUACCAGCCAGGCAUCUCUCAGGAACACACACCUGACUUCUGUUUUGUGAAAGUGGGUGUAUUCUACACACAAAAUCCCACUGAAGGACAGAGUAGCUCGCUUAAAUCUCUUUAAUGGGUUGGGUUGAUUGUGUUCAGACACCUGUGUCUCAUUUUCUCUUUAUGGUAUUCAUUGGGUUUUCACCAUAUGACUAAAAAACGAUUAAGAAGGAGAGACGAGUGUGCAAAGUUAGUGGAGUAUCCAGGGCCUCUUGGAACAGGGCCAUCUAUGGUAGAAAGGUAGCCCUUUGAGCUACCCACAGCUGGAUGCUGAUGAGAUGGACUAGUACCCAUGCAGGCACUGUCCUAGGCUAUCAGGACACUUGUCAUCAAAGGCACAGUGCAUCUUAUGGGUGCAGUUGCCCUCCGGAAGAAACAGACCUGUGAGGAUGGCUUGUUACCCAUGAUGCUCUCCUCCUGAGAUGGCCAUUUACAUACAUGACUCAUACAUGACCCAUCCCCGAUACCUCUGUUAGUUUGUGAGCGGGUACAAUCCACUUGAGGACCAUAAAAGGGAAAAACAGUGUGCAGAAAAGACAAACACUUUUUUUUUUAAAGGAAGGCAGCACAUCAAACUCACUUUCAAACAUUUGUGCUAAUAUCCAGAUCUCUUUUGCGAUGUGUCUUUCUAUAUUUACACAAUUUCUUUGUACAGGAUUGUUGUAUGCAGUCCAUAUUGGCCUCAGGAUUCAUAGGAAUCCCAGAGUGAUACCAAGCUCAUGAUUCUCCUGUCUUGGCACCCUGAGAGUUGAGAUUAUAGGAAUACAUCUUUUUCUGCAGGAUGGAUGAAGAGAGCUCCUCUCUGUCUGCUACUGAAUGCCAAUGCAGCGUGUUUCACGCAUACAUUCCAGGGAGCCUAGAUUUCACCUCUUCACUUUGGCAAGCCAUGGAGCAAAGUCACUCUUCCUGCAAACAAACGACAGAAUCGGCUCAACCACAGGGUCUGGCAGAUGGCAGUGACCCUGUGGGGCCAGUGAUCUUUCUGAGUUUUACCUCAGAUGCAUUUAGGAGUGCAGGUGGGCUCCAAAGGGACCAUUUCUGUGGAGUCAGGCAAGAUGGUGGGAGCCAGCAUGAGCCCGUGAAUGUGAGAUCGAGAAUGAAGUUGAAAGGCACCAUAGGGCAUGGUUACAAAUUUGGUUAUUUUAGGAUACAGCAAGGUAUUAUUUAAAGGCACAGCAAGCUAUGACCACUUGACACCUAAAGGGACAGGGUUUAAAAGAAAAUUCUGUAUUAACUGAAGUGUUAUCUGUCAUUAGGUCUUGAGUGCAGAGAUGUGUGUGUGUGUGUGUGUGUGUGUGUGUGUGUGCUUAUGUGAGCCUCUGUGUGUGUAUAUGUGCACGCUUGUAUGCCUCUCUCUAUGCAAGCUUGUAUGUGCGCCCCUCUCUAUGCAUGCCUGAGUGUGCCUCCCACCCCCUCCCUCUGUGUGUGUGUGUGUGUUCAUGCUUGUGUGUGCCUCUGUCUGUCUGUCUGUCUCUCUCUGUGUGUGCAUGCUUGUGUGUGCCUCUGUCUGUCUGUCUGUGUGUGUGUGUGUGUGUGUGUGUGUGUGUGUGUUUGCUGGAUGAUUUCAAGGGAUCAUCUUGUUUCUGCCUCCCCAGUGCUAGGACCGUAACUGUGAACAGCCACACUCAUCUGUUUUGUGGGUACAGGGGAGAUCAUGUUUUCACAGCAAGCAUCAUCUCAGUCUCUAAAUUUUAGUCUUUUAUUGAAAAACCCUCUCUCACCCGCCCUUUGGAAUUGCCAGAACUAGUAACCCCUAAGCUUCCUUUUAUGCCUCUGCCUACCUAGGAAACAGAACUCCCUGUAUUUUAUAGGACCUGCCUUAGUUGUUAUGCAAGUAGACUGUGUGUUUAAAGAAUCAAUACAGAUAUUUAGGAAGUGGGUUUUUUUUUUUACCCUUUUUGGUCUGGUCACUUUUCAAACACAGUGGUCAUUUUGGGCUACAAAACAUGUAUGUAUACACUGACACCCAUGUGCACACACAUACAAGAGCAGACGAACAUUCUUGUGUUGGGCACAUAAAUGCGUGUGCAUAGGCACUCGGGUGUGCAUGUCCAUUCUGGUCUUACUUGCAGUUUCCCAUGUUUAAAAAACAUCUUGCAGAAUACUAUGAAAAUAAGAUGUUUAGGGGUCAUGAGACCUAUCUGUCAAACCCAAUUGUGAAAACAUACAGAAUAUGUGCUAUCCAGCCAUAUGAGACUUUCUGGAGGUACUGAUAACUGAAUUGGAGGAAGAAACCCUAGAAAGGAUGGGAUGAACAUUACUUUUGCAUGCGAUUUUAACCGAAAGGGGACACACAAUUUUCUAUGCUUUUCUAUGACAUCCGGCACCACCAGUGCAGGAGUGACAUCACACACAGUGAGCUGGGCCCUCCCACAUCAAUCACCAAUCAAGAAAGUGCAGACUGACUUGUCCUCUGGCCAGUUGGGUGGGGGCAUUUUCUCAUUUGAUGUUCCCUCUUCCAAAAUGACUCUAGCUUGUGUCAAGUUGACAGAAAGGUAGCCAGCAGAAUAGCCUACAGUUGACUCCGUAAUGUGUGAAGUUUUAAAAAAGGAGAAAACAAAGAAAAAAAAGAGAGAGAAAUUCCAAAGUAAAAGUAAUAGUAAGAAGUAUUACUUUGAAUAUGACCUAGAUAUCAGAAUGAAAACAGAUCAGUAAUAGAGCUUGAUGGAUUGCAUUUAAUGAUUACUUUAAUGCAUUUGCAAGGAAGAAAUGACCCAAAAUGAAGAUAGGAAUCAACACAUCGGAGAACAGUAAGCAACACAGUAGGGUUUGGCACUCUCCCUCCUUCCCUCGCCCCCACCUUUGUGUGUGUGUGUGUGUGUGUGUGUGAGUGUAUGUGUAUAUGUGUGUGUGUAUGUGUGUGUGUGAGUAUGUAUGUGUGUGUGAGUGUGUGUGUGAGUGUGUAUGUGUAUGUGAGUGUAUGUGUAUGUGUGUGUGAGUGUGUAUGUGUGUGUAUGUGAGUGUGUGUAUGUGUAUGUGUGUAUGUGUGUGUGUGAGUGUGUAUGUGUGAGUGUAUGUGUGUGUGAGUGUGUGUGUAUGUGUGUGAGUGUGUAUGUGUGUGUAUGUGUAUGUGAGUGUAUGUGUGUGUGUGUGAGUGUAUGUGUAUGUGUGUGUGUGUAUGUGUGAGUGUAUAUGUGUGUGUAUGUGUGAAUGUGUGUGAGUGUGUAUGUGUAUGUGUGUGUGAGUGUGUGUGUAUGAGUGUGUGAGUGUGUAUGUGUGUGUAUGUGUAUGUGAGUGUGUGUAUGUGUGUGAGUGUAUGUGUAUGUGUGUGUGUGAGUGUGUAUGUGUGAGUGUAUAUGUGUGUGUAAUGUGUGUGAGUGUGGAUGUGUAUGUGUGUGUGAGUGUGUGUGUAUGUGUAUGUGAGUGUGUGUAUGUGUGUGUGAGUGUGGAUGUGUGUGAGUGAGUGUGUGUGUAUGUGAAUGUGUGUGUGUAUGUGUGUGUGUGAGUGUGUGUGUGUGUGUGUGUGUGUGUGCUUGCCCUUGUGCAUGCUGUGCCCUGAGAGGUCAGAAGAGAGCAUCAUUUCUCCUGGAGCUGAAGUUAUAGGUGAUUAUGAGCCACCAGAUGUAGGUGCUGGAAACUGAACUCCUGUCCUCUGGGAGGGCAGCAGGUGCUCUAAACCGCUAAGGCAUCUCUCCAGCCUCCCUCUGUCUUUAAAGAAUGGGGACCAAUAAAAGAGACAAAAUUCUUGUAAAAGUAAUUAGAGAGAUACAAAGAGUUAAGAAAAUAAGUUACCAGUAAUGAGUAAGAUGUAACCAUGUAGUCAGUUCGAUCUGGCUAUGCACACCGAUCAGAUAAAGCAGCAUUCUGAAUGAAUACAUGCUAAUGAAGAUCACACAAGUGAAAACAUAGAUACUUUAAAAACGAGCCGCUGUUAAAACAAUUAUAAGAGAAAUAGGGGAAAAUCACAGUAUAGAACUUAAGACAUCACAAAAGACACAUCUAAAUUUAGUUCCUAGAAAGAUGCCAGUCCCCAAGGAUUUCAAGAAUGAUUUCUUGGCAAACAUUACAGAGCACAAAAUUCUCCAAUCACUCGAGAUCGAGCAGGCGUGGCGGUACUCUCCUGUGAUCCUAACACAGUAGAGGCAGGAGGAUUAGAAGGCCAUGGUCGUCCUCCACUACAAAUAAAUAACAGUACCCGAGGUAAUAAAACUAGGUCUGCCCCAACACUCAAGUAUCACUGGAAAUGCAGACACUAAAGUCAUUUCCUCUAGGGGUUGAGCGUGGGCACCCUCCCCGCUGUGCUGCAGGUGAUGCGGCAUAUGGUGAAGGUGCACUUCAAAUCCAAGAGACAGGCUAGACAUUCAUUUGUGCCCUUGGGAAUCUGACUAGGAAUAAAAGAAAAAGCCCUCAGCAAAAUUAAGGCCCCGAUAGCCUUCCAAUGGGCGUAGCUCUGAAGCAGACCGAGGUUGUUGAGGUGAGGAGUUGAACGGUUGGCACACGUGGGAAGUGUAAAGUGUGUACUCCUGUUGGUUUCAGGCAGCAGCGCUUGGCAAUCACGAUGAGACCCUUAAGGAAAAAGUUGAAGGCAAUUGAGGAAAAUCAUUAAAUAAACUAAAAGGAAAGGCUAGAAAAAUAUUCUCAAACAGAGGAGGCAUGAGUUUGAAAGGACAAGUUUGCCAAGAUCGAUAACAAACCAGUAAAUGAGUGCUUUGUUCUCUUAAAAUUUAUCUAUUUCACGAGUGUUUUACAUGCAUGUCUGUGAACCGUGGGAGUGCCUGGUGCCUGAGGAGGCCAGUAAAGGGUGGCAGAUCCCCUGGAACUGAAAUUACAGAUGGUUGUGAGCUGUUCUCUCUCUCUCUCUCUCUCUCUCUCUCUCUCUCUCUCUCUCUCUCUCUCUCUGUGUGUGUGUGUGUGUGUGUGUGUAAUGGAACCAUGGAACCGGGGGUCGCUGCAAAAGCACCAAUGCCCUUAACGAUUGAGCUAUCUCUCCAGCCCUAAAUAGAUAUUCUUGAAGAAAACAGGCAGUCUACACCAUGCUGUAUGAUAUCUGUCUUAGGUCCUGUUGGUGAGAAGGACAUGAGUUGUCAGGAUACAGAAGCAGGAACAUCUGGCUGCUUAAGCAGCAUUGGCUGUCGGUGAAAUUGACUGGCGAACGAGAAACAAUUAAGUCGAGGCAGUAGAGGGUGGAUUCGAUACGGGCUCUGGGCAGAAGUGUAUUCAUGUUAAAAAUACAAAGCGAAACUACUCUAUUGCUUUCUAAUUGCUGCAAUCACUCUGCCGGUCAGUAUCCGAUGCCAGUGUUUAUAAAUUAACAGGGGUGGCAUUUGUGCCACUUGGGGAAGUUGCGUGACAAGCACGCCUAAGUGUUCUGUUUCUCUGUUUAUUAUCUAGGCCAACACCCACCAUUUAUCUUUCCAAUCAUGUUUGUAUCAUUUUACACUAAAAAGGCGUGUUAUAGGGAGCCAUGAGAUCUCUCUCUCUCUCUCUCUCUCUCUCUCUCUCUCUCUCUCUCUGUUACAUUGGUUAAAGUACAUAUACAAAGAUAUUCCCACCUUAUGAAUCUCUAAGUAUAUAGUUUUAUAAAAAUACUUACACUGAAAUAUUUAGUACCAAUAAAAUUAAUAAAUUAUGACUUGUAAAAAG